RNAcentral lists this ribosomal RNA (496 nucleotides) under uncultured bacterium. Its description in RNAcentral is "partial 16S ribosomal RNA". It matches the Rfam family "Bacterial small subunit ribosomal RNA", at positions 28 to 506 of the family's 1533-position model. The record is from RNAcentral.
GAUGAACGCUGGCGGCGUGCCUAAUACAUGCAAGUCGAGCGAACGGACGAGAAGCUUGCUUCUCUGAUGUUAGCGGCGGACGGGUGAGUAACACGUGGAUAACCUACCUAUAAGACUGGGAUAACUUCGGGAAACCGGAGCUAAUACCGGAUGAUAUUUUGAACCGCAUGGUUCAAAAGUGAAAGACGGUCUUGCUGUCACUUAUAGAUGGAUCCGCGCUGCAUUAGCUAGUUGGUAAGGUAACGGCUUACCAAGGCAACGAUGCAUAGCCGACCUGAGAGGGUGAUCGGCCACACUGGAACUGAGACACGGUCCAGACGCCUACGGGAGGCAGCAGUAGGGAAUCUGCCGCAAUGGGCGAAUGCCUGACGGAGCAACGCCGCGGGAGUGAUGAAGGUCUUCGGAUCGUAAAACUCUGUUAUUAGGGAAGAACAUAUGUGUAAGUAACUGUGCACAUCUUGACGGUACCUAAGCAGAAAGCCACGGCUAACUACGU